Molecule: ribosomal RNA, 310 nt
Filed under: uncultured bacterium
Lineage: Bacteria
Description: partial 16S ribosomal RNA
Rfam family: Bacterial small subunit ribosomal RNA
Source: RNAcentral
UAGGGAAUCUUCCACGAUGGACGCAAGUCUGAUGGAGCAACGCCGCGUGAGUGAAGAAGGUUUUCGGAUCGUAAAGCUCUGUUGUUGGUGAAGAAGGAUAGAGGCAGUAACUGGUCUUUAUUUGACGGUAAUCAACCAGAAAGUCACGGCUAGCUACGUGCCAGCAGCCGCGGUAAUACGUAGGUGGCAAGCGUUGUCCGGAUUUAUUGGGCGUAAAGCNAGCGCAGGCGGAAUGAUAAGUCUGAUGUGAAAGCCCACGGCUCAACCGUGGAACUGGCAUCGGAAACUGUCAUUCUUGAGUGCAAGAAGA